RNAcentral lists this ribosomal RNA (969 nucleotides) under Enterococcus faecalis. Its description in RNAcentral is "bacterial SSU rRNA". It matches the Rfam family "Bacterial small subunit ribosomal RNA", at positions 1 to 952 of the family's 1533-position model. The record is from RNAcentral. Lineage: Bacteria; Bacillati; Bacillota; Bacilli; Lactobacillales; Enterococcaceae.
UUUAAUGAGAGUUUGAUCCUGGCUCAGGACGAACGCUGGCGGCGUGCCUAAUACAUGCAAGUAGAACGCUGAAGAGAGGAGCUUGCUCUUCUUGGAUGAGUUGCGAACGGGUGAGUAACGCGUAGGUAACCUGCCUUGUAGCGGGGGAUAACUAUUGGAAACGAUAGCUAAUACCGCAUAACAAUGGAUGACACAUGUCAUUUAUUUGAAAGGGGCAAUUGCUCCACUACAAGAUGGACCUGCGUUGUAUUAGCUAGUAGGUGAGGUAACGGCUCACCUAGGCGACGAUACAUAGCCGACCUGAGAGGGUGAUCGGCCACACUGGGACUGAGACACGGCCCAGACUCCUACGGGAGGCAGCAGUAGGGAAUCUUCGGCAAUGGGGGCAACCCUGACCGAGCAACGCCGCGUGAGUGAAGAAGGUUUUCGGAUCGUAAAGCUCUGUUGUAAGUCAAGAACGAGUGUGAGAGUGGAAAGUUCACACUGUGACGGUAGCUUACCAGAAAGGGACGGCUAACUACGUGCCAGCAGCCGCGGUAAUACGUAGGUCCCGAGCGUUGUCCGGAUUUAUUGGGCGUAAAGCGAGCGCAGGCGGUUUGAUAAGUCUGAAGUUAAAGGCUGUGGCUCAACCAUAGUUCGCUUUGGAAACUGUCAAACUUGAGUGCAGAAGGGGAGAGUGGAAUUCCAUGUGUAGCGGUGAAAUGCGUAGAUAUAUGGAGGAACACCGGUGGCGAAAGCGGCUCUCUGGUCUGUAACUGACGCUGAGGCUCGAAAGCGUGGGGAGCGAACAGGAUUAGAUACCCUGGUAGUCCACGCCGUAAACGAUGAGUGCUAGGUGUUGGAUCCUUUCCGGGAUUCAGUGCCGCAGCUAACGCAUUAAGCACUCCGCCUGGGGAGUACGACCGCAAGGUUGAAACUCAAAGGAAUUGACGGGGGCCCGCACAAGCGGUGGAGCAUGUGGUUUAAUUC